This 526-nucleotide ribosomal RNA is filed under the name uncultured bacterium. RNAcentral's name for it is "bacterial SSU rRNA". It matches the Rfam family "Bacterial small subunit ribosomal RNA", at positions 984 to 1509 of the family's 1533-position model. The record is from RNAcentral.
ACAUCCAGAGAAUUUAGCAGAGAUGCUUUAGUGCCUUCGGGAACUCUGAGACAGGUGCUGCAUGGCUGUCGUCAGCUCGUGUUGUGAAAUGUUGGGUUAAGUCCCGNAACGAGCGCAACCCUUAUCCUUUGUUGCCAGCACGUAAUGGUGGGAACUCAAAGGAGACUGCCGGUGAUAAACCGGAGGAAGGUGGGGAUGACGUCAAGUCAUCAUGGCCCUUACGAGUAGGGCUACACACGUGCUACAAUGGCGCAUACAAAGAGAAGCGACUUCGCGAGAGCAAGCGGACCUCAUAAAGUGCGUCGUAGUCCGGAUUGGAGUCUGCAACUCGACUCCAUGAAGUCGGAAUCGCUAGUAAUCGUAAAUCAGAAUGUUACGGUGAAUACGUUCCCGGGCCUUGUACACACCGCCCGUCACACCAUGGGAGUGGGUUGCAAAAGAAGUAGAUAGCUUAACCUUCGGGAGGGCGUUUACCACUUUGUGAUUCAUGACUGGGGUGAAGUCGUAACAAGGUAGGCGUAGUGCU